Molecule: long non-coding RNA, 1420 nt
Organism: Oncorhynchus keta (chum salmon)
Lineage: Eukaryota; Metazoa; Chordata; Actinopteri; Salmoniformes; Salmonidae
Exons: 3
Source: RefSeq, a predicted model, not a curated record
ACUGCAGAAAUGAUGCCAUUGGCAGAGAGAGAGACCUAAUUUUAAUAAUUUAAGUGGCAACGCCCCACCUGUGACCCAGUUUCAUAUGUAACUGUCCCGAACACUGCCAUUCAAAACACACAGAGAACAUAGGAAGCAGCCCGGGACAGGAUGAGGAGUUCUCACUGGGAAACCGUUAGGAAACCUUUCUCCAAUACUUCUUGUUUCUUAAUUAAAAAUGUUACUGUCAGCUUCAACCUUUGUCAUCUUCAAUGUAACUAAAAUGAACAGGGUUAGGGUUAUAGAGGAUCCACUGCAGUGGGAGUUGUGACUGUACUCUAUAGGUGUAACCAUAAACAGGGUUAGGGUUAUAGGGGAUCCACUGCAGUGGGAGUUGUGACUGUACUCUAUAGGUGUAACCAUAAACAGGGUUAGGGUUAUAGGGGAUCCACUGCAGUGGGAGUUGUGACUGUACUCUAUAGGUGUAACCAUAAACAGGGUUAGGGUUAUAGGGGAUCCACUGCAGUGGGAGUUGUGACUGUACUCUAUAGGUGUAACCAUAAACAGGGUUAGGGUUAUAGGGGAUCCACUGCAGUGGGAGUUGUGACUGUACUCUAUAGGUGUAACCAUAAACAGGGUUAGGGUUAUAGGGGAUCCACUGCAGUGGGAGUUGUGACUGUACUCUAUAGGUGUAACCAUAAACAGGGUUAGGGUUAUAGGGGAUCCACUGCAGUGGGAGUUGUGACUGUACUCUAUAGGUGUAACCAUAAACAGGGUUAGGGUUAUAGGGGAUCCACUGCAGUGGGAGUUGUGACUGUACUCUAUAGGUGUAACCAUAAACAGGGUUAGGGUUAUAGGGGAUCCACUGCAGUGGGAGUUGUGACUGUACUCUAUAGGUGUAACCAUAAACAGGGUUAGGGUUAUAGGGGAUCCACUGCAGUGGGAGUUGUGACUGUACUCUAUAGGUGUAACCAUAAACAGUCUCCUGUUUGAAAACACCAACAAACUAAAAAACGUUGGCACCUUUGUGUAGAAAUGCUAACCGUCAUCACAGAACAGAUGGAUCAGAAAUAGAGCAGGGUGAAACGAGGCUAAGGAGUUAGUCACUAACCUACAUGUAGCCUUAUGAAAUGAGAGACAGAAACAACCUAGAUCCAAAUAUAAAGGUCCUGAACAACUGACAUGUCCCCCCCUCUAACAGACACAAUACAUUGUCAUCCUUACCUCUUAAAACAACAGUCAAUGUUCAGAUAGUGAUAUAUCCUACAUAAAAGGGCUCUACAGUGCUAGCAGCUCUAUUAAAACAACAGUCAAUGUUCAGAUAGUGAUAUAUCCUAUAUAAAAGGGCUCUACAGUGCUAGCAGCUCUAUUAAAACAACAGUCAAUGUUCAGAUAGUGAUAUAUCCUAUAUAAAAGGGCUCUGCUAGCAGCUCUAUUAAAA